This 79-nucleotide microRNA precursor is filed under the name Procavia capensis (Cape rock hyrax). RNAcentral's name for it is "miRNA (ENSPCAG00000019743.1)". The record is from RNAcentral. Lineage: Eukaryota; Metazoa; Chordata; Mammalia; Hyracoidea; Procaviidae.
CGGUCGGUCCGUCGUCCGGUCAGACGGUCAGUCAGUACGACAGUCAGUCAAUCGGUCGGUCGGUCAUCAGUCAUCAGUC